This is a long non-coding RNA of Canis lupus familiaris (dog), 360 nucleotides long. RefSeq lists it as uncharacterized. The record is from RefSeq and is a predicted model, not a curated record. NCBI's taxonomy places the organism in Eukaryota, Metazoa, Chordata, Mammalia, Carnivora, Canidae. The transcript is spliced from 3 exons.
GAAAAAAUGCUCAUCAUCACUUGGUACCAGGAAAAUACAAGUCAAAACCACAAUGAUAUAAGUUUUUCACUGUGAAUCAUUUCCAGCCAAUUCUAGACAUAACUCCAUGAAGGUCUUCCAACUUCGUCAGAGAAGCACAAAUGAGCUUAAUACUUUUCCAAAAGUCAAUUAAUAGCUACUUAUCCUCGCUUUCCUCAUAUAAGCAUACUCCUCUCCUGCUAUGAAAUCUUAAACUUCUCCAUAGAAGCUCAAGGAAUGAGCACUGGGAGAUGAAAAUAGCAGACAGGAUUCUGAGAUCCACGUUGGACCAUGCUUGAAAAAAAAUGCUUUGUCUUUAACUAGAACUCAGAAUGAGUCUCU